RNAcentral lists this non-coding RNA (673 nucleotides) under Oxyuris equi. The record is from RNAcentral. Lineage: Eukaryota; Metazoa; Nematoda; Chromadorea; Rhabditida; Oxyuridae.
UGGUGAAUUUUAUUAUGGUUUGAGAAUAGUUAAGUUGAUGUUAUUUAGUUUUAAUUCGUAGAGUGGACAAUGAUUUUUGAUCCUGUUUUGUGUUUAUUUGUAGUGCUUAUGUACCAGAAUAAUCGGAUAGACUUAAGAAAUUUAUACUUUAAGUGUGUUGAAUAAAAAUUUGUUUAUGAUUUGUUUUUUUUUUUUUGUGAAAUGGGAAGGUUUUUUGUUUGAGUGAUUAUUAUUUAAAAGAAUUUGUGAUGAACUGGAGUAGUACCCGGGUAAUUUUUGGUUAUUAGGGCAGGAGUAUAAUGGUUUUGAAACUGAAAUAAUUUUUGGGAGAUUCUAAAUUUAUUUUUGAAGGUUGACGAGUAAUUGAGAACCCUCAUUAUCAUCUGUGGCUGUGGUGGUAUGUAUGAUCGUCUAUUUUGUUGUUGAGCAUUAAAAGUAAAGUUUUUAGUUGUAAAGAUAGAUAAAUAUCUACUAGAUGUCAUAGUUUUUAGUUGACCUGCAAUAUUAUGAAAUUCGGAUUUUUUUGGGAGAUCAUUAAAUGAAGUUGGAAAAGACAGUAAAUUAGUUUUUAUGUCUAAUUGAAGAAGGAUUUUGGGAUGGCACAAAUCAUCCAUCAAUUGCUUAAAGAGUAGUAAGUUGUAGUAGAGUUAGGGUAGAGGAAUCUGUCCUAAGU